This 4313-nucleotide long non-coding RNA is filed under the name Arabidopsis lyrata. RNAcentral describes it as "long non-coding RNA (ALYR_LNC002232)". The record is from RNAcentral. Lineage: Eukaryota; Viridiplantae; Streptophyta; Magnoliopsida; Brassicales; Brassicaceae.
AUCCUCAACAAAUGAAGCAAAGAUUGAGACAUUGGGCUCAAGCAGUUGCAUGUUCUGUUAUGCAGUCUUAUUGAAGGAGUGUAUAUGUGAGAGAUAGGAAGAAACGAAUCUUUUAUAAUUAGGAUUCGGAAGAAACAAAAAAAAAAGCAGAAAAAUAUAGAAAAUUUUGGAGAAAAAGAGAUGAAAAUUGUGGCUCUGUAUAUAUAUACUCACAAGAUGAGAGAAAGAGAAAGAAAAAAAAAACACCUCUUGUUCAUAAGCUGUAUACAAAAAAAGAUUACAAUAUGAUCUUGGAUUGGAUAAUAAAAUGAACCUUUUUUCUAAAUAGUCGAUUUUUAAACGAAAAAGAGAGAAAAGCUUUUCAAGAAAACAUGAAGAGAACAUGAAGAGAUUUGAGACGUCAGGGUGUAUUUUGCACAAAACGUAUGAUUGGGUGUAUUUUAUUAUAAGUAAAUAUAUGAGGGUCUAAAAGAAAGCCUCUCGAAUCAUCUUAAAACCUAGAAGCCUCCAAGUCCGACCAACUGAAAAAAGCUUGUUCUUCUGAUAAUCAGACACAAACAACACCGGUAUCGACGAACGGAACUAACUCCGAUAUCCAAAACCCACUUCCAAGUUUCAUUAACUAAUCCGAGACAAAAGAUAGGGCUUUGUAUCUGCCAUGGCUCCUGAUGCUUCUACUGCUCUAGCAGGUCUGUUCUCUUCCUGCUUCGAUAUCUAUCUUUAAAUGCGUAUAAAUAUUCCUUUGAUGGGUUCUCUUAGUUUUCUUUAGCCACUCACCAAAUUAAUGCGGAACUAACUCCUAGUCGUGGUCGGACCACUCACCAAAGCCAUAACUUUCCCCAGUGUUCCGACGAAGAUGGAGUUGUCUCUUAUGGACCGCUUCAACAGAUGGUUACGCACCUUCAGACCUGAACCCCAUCACUAAGCAUUUGCUAUCUAUUUGGUUUUGAGAUUAGCUAAUUAAAGUUUCUCUCCCUUGUUAAUCUCUUUAGUAUUUUGUUUCGAAUUUAGUUUUUAUAUUUCCAUCGUUCCACCUAUGUACACAUUUCUUUAAUUAAUCCAACUUCGUGCAUUAACUUAAGACACAAGUAACAUCUUUUCCCAAUUUGAAGAGAAACUGACACAGUAAAGGCCUAUGACCAAACCUGUAACGUACUGUGUAAGCUAUAUAUAAAGGUAAUGAACAAUUGAGUUUCAUCUCUAGUUCAUACACACUCUGACAAAACAUUCAGUAGAAUUUUUUUGGAUCAGAGAGAUAAGAAUUAAUGUAGUGCUUAGCUAAAAGAAUUUAUGUUUAGUUAUAAACUGAUAUGAUGUCGCCAAUGAGAGCCAGCAAGAUGAUGAAGCCUAUGAUCAUGUUGAUGAGAGAGAUAUACGGUGGAUUCUCUCGUUUUCUCUCAAUUGCUUCCUCUGUAAUCAACAAGCCCUUUUUCUCUGUCUUCACCAUUCCUUGUUUAACCUGAAAAGGAAACUACAUCAUUCAUCAUCUUUAAGAUCUAAAAUAUGUUUGAGAUUAUAAAAUAGACACAAAAUCAACAUAGGAGCAACUCAAGAACUCUAGUUUCGAUGAUAUUGUGCACUGUGCGAGUUGAGAUUCCCGGGUCUUUCUACUAAUGGAAGGUUCAUCAGAAAUUUGUAUAUCUUUGCUCAACGAUAGAAUCUCGUCUCCGCAAGUCUUGAGGAAGUGCCUAUUUGAACUACCAACAGUAUCAAUUGGACUUGAUGUUCCUUUGUAACUCUGUCAUAUUAGAAUUAAAUACUGAAAAUACAGAUUAAUACUCCAUGGAAGUCAUUAGGAAAAUGAGUGAUAUGUGCUUUACCGUUGCAGACAUUGAUUCAGCAUAGCUAUCACUAUCACUGCUAUAAUCAACAAUGAUCCCUGACAAAGAUAUCUUUGGCCUGUAAUCGUUGCGGUUCUCUUGCAUUAUGAAUUCUUGAUCAGGAAACACAUCUUCAAAAUUCCCUCCGUUAUAACUCAGCAAUCCACUCCAAUAUUCAUCAUUUCUAGGAUCAAAUGCAUUCCGCGGAAAGAGAUCCUCUUGUUCGUUCAUUGGAACUCCCAAAUCAUGUACAUUUUCUUGACCUGGCUGCUCAAUCUGAAAACGUAAAAGAGAGUGUGAGUAAUAGAAUCAAGAACUUGAGAUAAAUAAAGAAACAUGUCAGAAACUGGACUCACCUCAGGCUCUGUGUUAAUAGCUCUGACAGAAUCUUUUGGCCUGGAAUCAAUGUACAUCUCCUGCAUUUCUUGAUCGGAAAGAAAAUGUUGAGCUGUCCCUCGGUAAGCAGGUGGUAAUCCACGCAGAAACUCAUCAUCUUCUUGGGCUAGGUAAGGAGUUAAGCUUUCUUGACCUGGCUGCUCAACCUGAAAAUGUAAAGAGGCAACGAGUAACGAAACCACUCGAUACUAAUGAGCACCGAAACAUUUCAGAAACUGGACUCACCUCUGGUAGUAUGCUAGUAGAGACACUGAUAGUAUUCAAAUCAGAGACCAGAGAUUGACUUGCCACGCUCAAGCUAUUACCAUUUUGAAUGUCUGCCUCUUUACCCUUAUCAAAUAUUUUGCAGAUAACAUAGGAAUCCUGAACAAUAUCAAAAUCACACACACACAAAUUCAUAUUUUCGGUAACACACUCAUUAAGCCACAAUGGUUAUAUUUCUUCUAUUAACUCACAGAAAUGUAUCAUCCAUGAUCUAACACUAGAAAAAAUCUCAAAAUGACUAUCAUCCAAAAAAAGUUGCAUCAAAAUGUUUAUGUAAAAAACGAAAGUACCAAAUUAUGAUGAGGCAAAGAAGUUAUCUUAUACUCAUGCAUAACCCAGCGACUCUUAUUCCCCUUGGUUUUAGGAUCUCCGUAUUUUUGGUACAGAAAACCCUGUCUUUCUCCAAUCUUGUUUCCACUCUCAUCUUCGAUUACCUUGACCCGGCCACUAUGUUUCCAAUACCAAUAUUUUUCUUUGGUGUUUCUCUUCCUCACCGUCUCGGUUUUGUACUGCUUGGGGACAAAGAAAUAGUAUAUACUAUCGUUCGAUUUGAUCCUCGAUAAAGCUGUAACAAAACCCACAAAAUCAAAAUCAGAAGUUAUUAAUCGAAAUCAAAGUGAAGAAAGUAGUGAGUUACAUGAAAAAGAAGAGGGAUGGUGAUUUAGUAUGUUGAUCUCGCAGAUAGUGUCGUCGACGAGCCAUGUGUUACCCAUAAUCUUGUUCUUCAGAUAAUAAUUUAUCAGUUCCUCGUCUGUUGGUUGAAAUCUGAAUCCCGGUUUUUGCUCCAUCUUCACUACAAAAUCAAGAAUGAUGAAGUUUCUCUCAAAGGCGUCUUGUUUUUUCUUUUUCUUUUUCUCUAUGGGCUCUGUUUUGGUUUUUUUUUAGGGGGAAGAGAAACAAGAGAGAGGUAUUUAAAUUGUCGAAUUAAAAGAAAAACUUAAUUAAAAUUGAACGCUUCUUUUUAAUGUCUUAUUUCUUACGCUACUCAUAAAACAAACAAAUUCACAAAUGUAAUUAAACACCGUGUGGAUUCCACUGACUUUGUAGCUCAAUUAAUUACUUGAUGUAGACGGUAAUUAAAACCGUGUGUCUCUCUAUUCUUUUAAUCUUUUUCUUUAAAUCAUCUUAUAAAUGUGAACUUGAUACAAUAUGUUAUGUGGUUCAAGUUAUAUGAUAAUAUACAAAAAAAAAAAACUUUCGUUAAUAAUGAUAGUAUACAUUGUGUUACUCUUGAGAAUGUUAGACAAGGAAUACGUUGCGAUUUUUGUUUGAAUUCCUCUACUUUAUUUAAAUUCCAUUUGAUUUGAGACGACUAAUUAGUUUGUUUUAUGUACAUGUAUCCAUUUCUUUAGUGGAAAACUUUUACCAAGAAAAAGUUUGUUAUUAUCCUUUGAAUUAGUUUUAAUUAUAGUCUGGUAUGUAUGUGAGUGGUGCCAGUCAUACCCAAUACCCAUAAUGUGGAACCUAAAGCAAAGUAUUUUUCUAGCUAAACUCUUUUUACUAUAAAAGGUAUUUACAAGUCAAUACUCAUAAUGUUUUAGAAAGAUAGAUAGCGAAACACGAGGUUGAUUAGUUUAUAAAUGGGUUAAUUAUAUAUACCAAAAUUUAGACUAAUGCUGAAAUUUGUAAAAUGGUUGAUAACUAAACACAUUCUAUGAAGAAACGAAUCUUUUAUAAUUAGGAUUCGGAAGAAACAAAAAAAAAAAGCAGAAAAAUAUAGAAAAUUUUGGAGAAAAAGAGAUGAAAAUUGUGGCUCAUAUAUAUAUAUAUAUAUACUCACAAGAUGAGAGAAAGAGAAAGUAAAAAAAAACACCUCUUGUUCAUAAGCUGUAU